This 312-nucleotide ribosomal RNA is filed under the name Triticum aestivum (bread wheat). RNAcentral's name for it is "partial small subunit ribosomal RNA". Lineage: Eukaryota; Viridiplantae; Streptophyta; Magnoliopsida; Poales; Poaceae. The record is from RNAcentral.
AUGGCCAAGUUUGUGGGUGUCAACGCUGUUGCCUAUGCCGCGCUUGUCAUCGCUACCGUCGCGGCCACUCGCAAGCCCGACUGUGCGAAGACACAGCAAGACUUCGAGCACUCGCUCGAUGCCUUCAUGGAGUCUUGCGACUGCCCCGACGACAUGUUCUCUGGCCUCGAACAGAUCACCCACAUCCACCUCGCAAUCGCAAAAGAUCUACAGGCUACUGCCAACACUGAGGAGAAAGGGGUGCAUGAAGAGAAGGAUACAAUAGCCACGCCGCCGAUGUCGGUGAUGAUUCCAGCCUUCGAGGAAAAGUAG